RNAcentral lists this long non-coding RNA (288 nucleotides) under Homo sapiens (human). RNAcentral describes it as "non-protein coding lnc-ALCAM-7:1". Lineage: Eukaryota; Metazoa; Chordata; Mammalia; Primates; Hominidae. The record is from RNAcentral.
UUUUUUAUGCAUCUUUCCUGAGUCUUCUGCUCAGCUUUAUUCUACAUCCUUCCUUGCUGCCUCUGUAUUGGUUCUUCAUACUCUGGCAAUGUGUGUUUGAAACCCUGGUUUCAAACUUGUCUCCUUAAUCACUUGUUGAGCAAGGCAGCAAAUAUUCUCCCUUGAAGCCAUUUGAAACAAACACUCUCCAACUUUGAAAUGUAUUAAUACUUUUCAAAAGAGAGGGCAUUAUGAGUUACACAGUAAUGUUUGUCAACCUUAUGUUCAAUAAUAUGAAAAUCUGCUUUG